GCCAGGGCUGGUGGUACUCGCGUGUAGUCCCAGCUAUUUGGGAGGCUGAGGUUGAGAGGAUGGCUUGAGUCCAGGAGUACUGGGCUGCAGUGCUCUAUGCAGAUCAGGUGUCCUUACUAAGUUUGGCAUCAAUAUGGUGAACUACACGUAACUGGGGCCCACCAGGUUACCUAUGGAGGUGAGAACUGGCCCAGGUCAGAAAUGGAGCAGGUCAAAAGAUUGUUGGGAGCUCUGUGCCUGGGGCCUCUGAUGGGCAUUUGAAUCAACUGUAGAGAAAUACCUCUCAACUUUUU
Molecule: non-coding RNA, 293 nt
Organism: Cavia porcellus (domestic guinea pig)
Lineage: Eukaryota; Metazoa; Chordata; Mammalia; Rodentia; Caviidae
Source: Rfam